Molecule: ribosomal RNA, 391 nt
Filed under: uncultured Clostridiaceae bacterium
Lineage: Bacteria; Bacillati; Bacillota; Clostridia; Eubacteriales; Clostridiaceae
Description: bacterial SSU rRNA
Rfam family: Bacterial small subunit ribosomal RNA
Source: RNAcentral
GUAACACGGUGGGACAACCUGCCUACAGUAGGAAGGGGAAUACGCCCUACCCGGAAAGGGAGUAAUUAACUACCGCAUAAUAUCUAUUGAGUGCAUCUAUUAUGAUAAGGAGUAAUCCGCUAUGAGAUGGGCCCGCGGCGCAUUAGCUAGUUGGUGAGGUAACGGCUCACCAAGGCGACGAUGCGUAGCCGACCUGAGAGGGUGAUCGGCCACAUUGGGACUGAGACACGGCCCAGACUCCUACGGGAGGCAGCAGUGGGGAAUAUUGCACAAUGGGGGAAGCCCUGAUGCAGCAACGCCGCGUGAGUGAUGAAGGUCUUCGGAUUGUAAAGCUCUGUCUUCAGGGACGAUAAUGAUGGUACCUGAGGAGGAAGCCACGGCUAACUACGUG